This 163-nucleotide ribosomal RNA is filed under the name uncultured bacterium. RNAcentral's name for it is "partial 16S ribosomal RNA". It matches the Rfam family "Bacterial small subunit ribosomal RNA", at positions 355 to 510 of the family's 1533-position model. The record is from RNAcentral.
UAGGGAAUCUUCCACAAUGGGCGAAAGCCUGAUGGAGCAACGCCGCGUGUGUGAUGAAGGGUUUCGGCUCGUAAAACACUGUUGUAAGAGAAGAGUGACAUUGAGAGUAACUGUUCAAUGUGUGACGGUAUCUUACCAGAAAGGAACGGCUAAAUACGUGCAG